AUGGAUAUACGACAUUUUUUCUUGUCGUGCGGGAGUAGGUCUGCAAAUGAGCAACAGUCAGAAAAGUCAGUGCAAAAAGUGAAUGAAGUGGAGGCAGAGAAGAUUGAUGAAGGCACAUCAGAGAAAGGGCAAGAUCAUGAUCAAGUACAGGGACAGAGAGAGCAUGAAGAAGAGGAAGACAUGAGUCAGGAGAGAGAGGACAGACAUACAGAGAAACAAAUGUCAGAUGAAGCACAGACAGCAGCUGCACCUUUAGAUCAGUUUGACUUAGGUGAAAAGGACACAGGCCCAAAACAGGCAAAAUUACACUAUUAUCCCCAGGAGAACUUUGGCUUACAAAAAAGAUCAUUCCAGCCAAGCUGGUUUCAAACUUUUGCUUGGCUUGAGUACUCCCAGAAGACAGAUUCUGCCUACUGCUUUGCUUGCCGUGUCUUUGGUAAAAACUUGAAGCAUGAUGUAUUUGUGAGUAGUGGAUACAAUAGUAGUGUACAGUGAAUGAAUCAGGAGGUCUUCAUUGUAAAAAAAAAAAAAAAAUCAACAUUUCCUAUUUUCUAGUGGUCACAUCCAAUAAUUAUUUUUUUAUUACAGUGUUGUAUAUGGCUCAGUCAGUACUCCUACUCCCAUAUAUGAAAUACAGGGAAUACAGUGGAAUAGUGGAUUGCAGUAAGGUUAGUAGCAUACCACCCUACCCAAAUAGUCAAAUAAUAUUUUUUUAAUCAUACCCUUACUGGGGGCUGAGCCCCCCUAAAAUCAAAAUCCUAGAAUCGCCCCUGCACUCAGCCAUCGCACUGAAUCAGGUAAACUGGUUAUACAUUUAUGUUUCAGUAUAAUUACGCACGCUAUACCAGGGGCGGUUCUAAACCCUUCUUAGGUGGGUUUCAGCCCCCCAUCUGUCACCUUAGCCCCCCAAAACUAUCUUAACGAUCAGGCCAGUGCUGCUUUUUUCAUUCUCACGUGUUUUAAAUCUUGUCAGUUUAAAUAAUAAAGUAAUUUUAAGCCAUUUAAGCCCA
Long non-coding RNA from Cyprinus carpio (common carp), 1010 nucleotides. The record is from Ensembl. Lineage: Eukaryota; Metazoa; Chordata; Actinopteri; Cypriniformes; Cyprinidae.